CUGGAGGAAGGUGGGGAUGACGUCAAAUCAUCAUGCCCUUAUGUCUUGGGCUUCACGCAUGCUACAAUGGCCGGUACAAAGGGCUGCGGUACCGCGAGGUGGAGCCGAAUACCCAGAAAGCCGGUCUCAGUUCGGAUUGGGGUCUGCAACUCGACCCCAUGAAGUCGGAGUCGCUAGUAAUCGCAGAUCAGCAACGCUGCGGUGAAUACGUUCCCGGGCCUU
RNAcentral lists this ribosomal RNA (222 nucleotides) under uncultured Cellulosimicrobium sp. Its description in RNAcentral is "partial 16S ribosomal RNA". It matches the Rfam family "Bacterial small subunit ribosomal RNA", at positions 1163 to 1382 of the family's 1533-position model. The record is from RNAcentral. Lineage: Bacteria; Bacillati; Actinomycetota; Actinomycetes; Micrococcales; Promicromonosporaceae.